GAGACCGAGAAGGCUGAGAUCCAGACGGCUCUUGAAGAGGCUGAGGGAACUCUGGAACACGAAGAGUCUAAGAUCCUGCGUGUCCAGCUGGAGCUC
This is a long non-coding RNA of Etheostoma spectabile (orangethroat darter), 96 nucleotides long. RefSeq lists it as uncharacterized. The transcript has 2 exons. The record is from RefSeq and is a predicted model, not a curated record. NCBI's taxonomy places the organism in Eukaryota, Metazoa, Chordata, Actinopteri, Perciformes, Percidae.